Molecule: ribosomal RNA, 114 nt
Filed under: Zingiber officinale
Lineage: Eukaryota; Viridiplantae; Streptophyta; Magnoliopsida; Zingiberales; Zingiberaceae
Source: RNAcentral
ACGAUUAUACCAAAAUUAAUGCACUACAACCCAUCAGAACUCCGAAGUUAAGCAUGCUUAGGUGAGAGCAAUACUAGGAUGGGUGGCCCCUUGGGAAGUCCUCGUGUUGCACCU